Molecule: ribosomal RNA, 450 nt
Filed under: uncultured bacterium
Lineage: Bacteria
Description: partial 16S ribosomal RNA
Rfam family: Bacterial small subunit ribosomal RNA
Source: RNAcentral
GUGGGGAAUAUUGGACAAUGGGCGAAAGCCUGAUCCAGCCAUGCCGCGUGUGUGAAGAAGGUCUUCGGAUUGUAAAGCACUUUAAGUUGGGAGGAAGGGCAGUAAGUUAAUACCUUGCUGUUUUGACGUUACCGACAGAAUAAGCACCGGCUAACUUCGUGCCAGCAGCCGCGGUAAUACGAAGGGUGCAAGCGUUAAUCGGAAUUACUGGGCGUAAAGCGCGCGUAGGAGGUUUUGUAAGUUGGAGGUGAAAUCCCCGGGCUCAACCUGGGAACUGCCUCCAAAACUGCAUGACUAGAGUACGGUAGAUGGUAGUGGAAUUUCCUGUGUAGCGGUGAAAUGCGUAGAUAUAGGAAGGAACACCAGUGGCGAAGGCGACUACCUGGACUGAUACUGACACUGAGGUGCGAAAGCGUGGGGAGCAAACAGGAUUAGAUACCUCGGUAGUCC